Molecule: ribosomal RNA, 253 nt
Filed under: uncultured bacterium
Lineage: Bacteria
Description: partial 16S ribosomal RNA
Rfam family: Bacterial small subunit ribosomal RNA
Source: RNAcentral
UACGGAGGGUGCGAGCGUUAAUCGGAAUUACUGGGCGUAAAGCGCGCGUAGGCGGUUUGUUAAGUCAGCUGUGAAAGCCCCGGGCUCAACCUGGGAAUUGCAGUUGAUACUGUCCGACUAGAGUACGAGAGAGGGAGGUAGAAUUCCAUGUGUAGCGGUGAAAUGCGUAGAUAUAUGGAGGAAUACCAGUGGCGAAGGCGGCCUCCUGGCUCGAUACUGACGCUGAGGCGCGAAAGCUAGGGGAGCAAACGGG